CCGGUUGAUCCCGCCGGACCCCACUGCUAUCGAGGUGGGACUAAGCCAUGCUAGUCGAACGAACUUAGGUUAGUGGCACACUGCUCAGUAACACGUAGCUAACCUACCCUUAAGACGGGGACAACCCCGAGAAAUUGGGGCUAAUCCCAGAUAGGUGUGAUGUCCUGGAAUGGUAUCACGCUCAAAUGUGUUCGCACGCUUAAGGAUGGGGCUGCGGCCGAUCAGGCAGUUGGCGAGGUAACGGCUCACCAAACCUUUGACCGGUACGGGCCAUGAGAGUGGUAGCCCGGAGAUGGACACUGAGACAAGGGUCCAGGCCCUACGGGGCGCAGCAGGCGCGAAACCUCCUCAAUGCACACACGUGUGAAGGGGUUACCUCGAGUGCCACCUGAAGAAGGUGGCUUUUCUGUGGUCUAAAAAGCCUAGGGAAUAAGAGGGGGGCAAGACUGGUGUCAGCCGCCGCGGUAACACCAGCCCCUCGAGUGGUGGGGAUGAUUAUUUGGCCUAAAGCGUCCGUAGCUGGCCGUGUAAGUCCCCCGUUAAAUCCAGCGUCUCAAGCGUUGGACUGCGGGAGAUACUGCUCGGCUAGAGAGUGGGAGAGGUGUGCGGUAUUCUGGGGGUAGGGGCGAAAUCCUUUGAUCCCCGGAGGACCACCAGUGGCGAAGGCUGCACACUAGAACACGUCUGACGGUCAGGGACGAAAGCUGGGGUAGCGAACCGGAUUAGAUACCCGGGUAGUCCCAGCUGUAAACGAUGCAUGCUAGGUGUUGGGUCGGCCAUGAGCCGCCUCAGUGCCGCAGGGAAGCCGUUAAGCAUGCCGCCUGGGGAGUACGGCCGCAAGGCUGAAACUUAAAGGAAUUGGCGGGGGAGCACCACCAGGCGUGAAGCCUGCGGUUUAAUUGGAUUCAACGCCGGAAAUCGUC
This 923-nucleotide ribosomal RNA is filed under the name uncultured archaeon. RNAcentral describes it as "bacterial SSU rRNA". It matches the Rfam family "Archaeal small subunit ribosomal RNA", at positions 4 to 929 of the family's 1478-position model. The record is from RNAcentral.